AAAAGAAGCAACAUUUCCUGGCCUUUGUGGGAGUGGAUUUGUAGUUUCCGAUAGAAGUCUGUGCUGACCGUUAACACUGGGUGUAGAAUUGUUCUGGUGAAAGUUCUCUUGUUGGCGAAGACCAGCACCUCCAUCAGGCUAACUCUGGUAACAGAGUGAGGAAUAAGCUCAAGACCCUGAAGACAGGCUCGUGGGUGAGCAAGUGGGAAAGAAAAGACCGAUUACAGCAAGUACAACAGCAGUAAAACAGAAGCUGAGGGGAUGGACUGUGGUGGAUUGACAACUGGUGGUCAACUUGUAACCCCCAGCGGAACAGAACUGGUGUGGUGCUGGGUGUGGGAGGCCCACCUGAGGAUUGUUGCUGGCAGCAGAAGAGGCAGAACUGGAGAGGAAGGAGUUUAGAAGCUGUUGUGAAGCUAUAGGGAGCUUUUGGUUUUCCUGCAGGAGCUUGUUGCACUGGCUUUCCUGAUGAGCUCGGCUGCUCUCAUCAUCGAAGGA
Molecule: long non-coding RNA, 498 nt
Organism: Chinchilla lanigera (long-tailed chinchilla)
Lineage: Eukaryota; Metazoa; Chordata; Mammalia; Rodentia; Chinchillidae
Exons: 3
Source: RefSeq, a predicted model, not a curated record